Long non-coding RNA from Acromyrmex echinatior (Panamanian leafcutter ant), 994 nucleotides. NCBI's taxonomy places the organism in Eukaryota, Metazoa, Arthropoda, Insecta, Hymenoptera, Formicidae. The record is from RefSeq and is a predicted model, not a curated record.
GGAAGAUUAUUAUCCAAGCUAAUAAAGCAGCUGUCCAAAUAACUGCUCCGAUAGCAGAGAAAAUCACAUCUGAAAGAAACGUGGUGCUAUGAAAGCUUCUUUUGAGAACCAAACCGCAUUCACGGCCCAUAGGAAUGGCAGCAGUGCAAAACCAGCUGUAACAGAGAGAAGUUGAAGAAAAUAUUGAUUUUAGAAGAAAGAUUUUGGAGAGAAGAGACAACUAUCCCAAAAAAUCAAGAACGCAGCUAAAGAAGUUAACAACAUAAGAAUUAUAUUUUAACACUAAGAAUCAUGUACUGCUGCAAAUUUAUAGCUAUACUUUAAUCUAAAUCUAAUUUUAGUUCUCAAUCAAUUUUCAACAUACUUAAGGAUGGAGCAUCUAUAGAUAUCGUCUGCUAAUCCAUACAUGUGUUAAGGUCUGAAUUGUAAUAUUGAAAUAUGAAGUAACUCUGGUUUGAAUUUUAAAUCAUGAUUGGACAGUAAGGCUGUAUUCGAGAAGCAUGCUAUCAGCGAUAUUUGUGCCAUUUAUUCUUGUUUUAACAUCUAAUAAACAAUGAAGAUAGAAUGACACAAAUAGCACUAAUAGUGUCCCGAAUAUACCUUAAGUGUGUUCAGAAUUAGAUAAGGGGUAUCUUCCAAUAAAGCCCAGUUCCACAACUCACAGUUAACUCUUAACCGAAGUUCAACUUGUUUCUUAUUUCUUUCCAAUUCUAGAAUUGAAAAGAAACAAUAAAUAAGUUAAACCUCAGUUAAGAGUUAAUUGUGAAUUAUAGAAUUGGGCCUAAUGUCCAUUUCCAUCAAUGUAGAUCAACUUUAAUCUCGAUUCAACUUACUCUUCGUCUUUUUCUAAUUUUUAUUGGAAAAAGAUGAAGAGUAAAUUGAGAACCGAGAUUAAAUUUGAUCUACAUUGGUGGAAACGGACAUAAGAGAUACAGAUGACACAGUAUAACAGGUGAAUCAUUAUAUUCUUGUUUAUUAAACAAAGAUAAAACGA